GACAGGCAAUGGCACGGACGCCUCUCUCUGCCGGGGACCCGCAGCCGCCGCCGUCCCGGGACUCGGGAGAGGCUCGGCCGGGAGCCGGGUGACCUUCCCAAGAUGGCGGCACGAAGGGGGGGCGCGGUCGAGGCUCGCGGUCCGUUCGCUGCGCUGCCCGCACGGCGCCCCCGUGGCGGCGCCGGCCCGUCGGGGCUUUCCGCGGUGGUUCCGGUGCGGGGCUGGCGGGCUGUGGGCUCGGCAGCGCCGCGGGCGGGCGGGUUUUGGGGGGCCGCUGACGGGCACUGGCGUGGUGGCCUCUCUUCGCCGAGGUACUCAGGGUGCAUCCUGUGCUGCUGGAGGGGGCUUUUGUACUGGGGAAGCUUAUUUUAUUUUUCCGAAUGAAAAUAAGCUGCCCGGUAUGCCCGUGUAGGCGUCAGUAAAACGCUUGCUUUGGUAGGGAAUUUAGUACUUAAAAGUAGGGGGUUUAUUUGAUUUAAGCGUGGAUGAGUCUCCAAUGACUCGAUAGUCACAACAAUGUCAAUAUUACAGCCAGGCAGGUGACCGCGUUGGAGAGAGGAGGGCAGCUGCCAGCAGGCAGCCCCCAGGAAAACAGGGGAGUUUCAGUGGUUUCUGGAGCCUGAGGAACAGGGAGAUGCCCUGAGCUGAGCAGGAGUUAAGCGCAGUCAUGCGGAGGCCUGGCUGUUACGAUUGAAGGUCGCUUCGUGAAUAUCGAUAGUUUCUGUAGGUAUUUUUAUAUCUAUAGAAAGAUAAAAAGUAAAAGUAGACUAUAGAGCAUUGUGCAGGAGAAGAAAGAACCCUUUAUGUAAGAUGUGACCUGAGGGGCAUCAUGCCAGGCUGUCCCUUCCAGACUGGGAAGGAUUCAGUGUUUUGUAUGGCACGAUGGAGAGUUUUGAAAAGUAAGAUUUCCUCUUCGGUGCAGGUCCGAUGGGUGAGGCCUGGCAGCUUGUGCACUGCCACUGUGGUACCCUGCGUGCCUCUCCUUCCCUCCCUGCUCCGCAGGCACAGCACGGGAUCAGCAGGGAGAGGCGGCUCUGUCGUGGAGGAUCCAGGAGCUCGGCGUGCGUGUCUGAGCCUGCAGCUGCGAGCCGCAGCAGGACCCAAGGUCUGCACACGCCUGUGUACAGAAGAAUGAUGCGAGAACAGAAAAGUUGCAAUGGCAUUGCAGUUCCCUGCACAGAAAAUAGCCAGGGAGGUGAAGCCCGGCCAAGUGGUGCCGUUCGACUGCGCCCCGACUGGGAGCAUCAGGUUCAUUCCCAUUGUGAUCUGCAAAUGGCAAAUCAGGGUUGCUCUUUGUUAAAACCAAAAGGGCUCUCAGAAUGUUGAUGGAGGUGAUGAUUGCAGGGGCGAUGCUUCUGGAGAAUAGCUCCCCCAUCUUCCCCAGGGCCUGGGCAGAGAGAGGUGGAGCUCGGAGUCCCCCCAGUCCUCCCGCGGGUGCUGGCGUCUGCGGCGCCAUCGGGACGGGAUCCACGGCGCAGCUCCCUCCUCCAGAGGCCGAAAGCUCAGCCUCCAGUUUCGUGCAGGGUGAUCACCUUUCCAGGGCAAUACAAGCACUUCCCAAGAGCAGCUGGUGAAGAUGGCGCAGAAGCAAGGACAAGGGUGCAGUGAAAAGUUUGGUGCAUCGAUCCAGCUUCCGGACAUGGUAGGGAAGACACACCGUUUGCUAAAACACCAAACACGGUACUUUUCAUUCUUUGUGUUUUUCUGUGCCCCCAUUGUGAUCACCCCUGGAAGUAUUAUUUUCGAAAAACAUAUCUAGGAGAGAAAUCGUAACCUGCUUUGCGUCCUUCUGCCUGGAAGGGUUGUGACACAGGGAAGUGAGGAAGGGGCUGGCCGGGGUCAGCCUCUGCUGAGCCUCAGCUCUGGCUGCUGCUCCUGCUUCCCGGGUACAGCCAAAAGCUGUCAUGAUCAAAAGAGCAGGCAGCCCUUCUGUCCUGAGUCACAGGGGCCAUUUCUUCCUGAGUGACUCAAGAUGGGAAAUCAUUCUUGGAGCUUCAAAAGAAAAAAAAAAAAAAACCUCACGCAAUCAUUUGUAAGUGUGUAUAUAUACACAUAGAUUUCCUUCAAUGAAGAAGAAAAUCUUAGAAAUAUCAUGUCACGUCUGGCUUCCUAGAGAAAAUCCUUAUCUCUGGGCUUCUGAAAUCAAAUGUCUGUGCAUUUAUAGAGCAUUUCCCCUCUUUUGAUGUGCCUCCCACAGUGAUCUUCUACCCUGCCCCACGGCAAGAAGAGUUUGGUGAUUUUGCUGCUCUGCUCUCUCAAGGGUGUUGCAGGCUGCGUAGCAGGGAGUGAAGCCCUUGUCGCUGCUCAUCAGACACUUUCCUACAGAAUUCUCCCUGCAGUGAUAAAAUUAGACUGGUGUUAGUGAGCUGCCAAGUAGAGCAGGUAACAUUGGACAAGAAUUGUUUCUGAGCUGCUGUUCACUAGCACGUGUUUCCCCUUUCCAGCGCGGUGCCGCCGCCCAAGAAAGGAUUUUUGUGGGUCAGCCAGAUGUGCUCCUGCCUCCCACUGAGGCUCUGAGAUGGAGCCGAGUUUGCAUUCCAGUUUAUUGCAACAGAGGGUCACGGGAAAUUUCCUCAGCUAUCUCAGGCACAGAGCCAUGGAAGCAAGACAGCACGAAGACUGAACGUGUAAGAAGAUGUGGGCUGCAAUGGAGAACCUGGCAGGAGCAUCCGACGCACACGUGCACGAGUUUUGCUUUUUGCUUGGAUUGAAACUCAAAAGUUGUAAGGAAUUUGGGAAUGAGAUGGGACGUUUCAGAAGAAGAGGAAGGAGGAGAAGUUGUUGUUGUUACAGUGUUACAGUCCUGGCAAAAUCCUUUGUUCUAGCUAAUAAAAGAAGUUAGUUAAAAAAAAAAAAUUAAAAAAAAAAAAAAAAAAGUGUUUUUUUUCCUUGAAUAUUAUAUUCGUUGGUGGUGUA
Molecule: long non-coding RNA, 2916 nt
Organism: Haemorhous mexicanus (house finch)
Lineage: Eukaryota; Metazoa; Chordata; Aves; Passeriformes; Fringillidae
Exons: 4
Source: RefSeq, a predicted model, not a curated record